RNAcentral lists this ribosomal RNA (207 nucleotides) under uncultured bacterium. RNAcentral describes it as "partial 16S ribosomal RNA". It matches the Rfam family "Bacterial small subunit ribosomal RNA", at positions 568 to 774 of the family's 1533-position model. The record is from RNAcentral.
CUCGUAGGCGGUUUGUUGCGUCGGAAGUGAAAUCUUACAGCUUAACUGUGAACUUGCUUUCGAUACGGGCAGACUUGAGGCAUUCAGGGGAGAACGGAAUUCCUGGUGUAGCGGUGAAAUGCGCAGAUAUCAGGAGGAACACCGGUGGCGAAGGCGGUUCUCUGGGAAUGUACUGACGCUGAGGAGCGAAAGUGUGGGGAGCGAACA